GACGAACGCUGGCGGCGUGCUUUACACAUGCAAGUCGAACGGAAAGACCCUGCUUUUGUGGGGUGCUCGAGUGGAGAACGGGUGAGUAACACGUGAGUAACCUGCCCUUGACUUUGGGAUAACUUCAGGAAACUGGGGCUAAUACCGGAUAGGAGCUCCUGCUGCAUGGUGGGGGUUGGAAAGUUUCUGCGGUUGGGGAUGGACUCGCGGCUUAUCAGCUUGUUGGUGGGGUAGUGGCUUACCAAGGCUUUGACGGGUAGCCGGCCUGAGAGGGUGACCGGCGACAAUGGGACUGAGGUACGGCCCAGACUGCUACGUGGGGCAGCAGUGGGGAAUAUGGCACAGUGGGCGGAAGCCUGAGGCAGCGACGCCGCGUGCGGGAUGACGGCCUUCGGGUUGUAAACCGCUUUCGCCUGUUACGAAGCGUAAGUGACGGUAAUGGGUAAAGAAGCACCGGCUAACUACGUG
RNAcentral lists this ribosomal RNA (468 nucleotides) under uncultured bacterium. RNAcentral describes it as "partial 16S ribosomal RNA". It matches the Rfam family "Bacterial small subunit ribosomal RNA", at positions 28 to 507 of the family's 1533-position model. The record is from RNAcentral.